CCCUCUGGACUUCCUUCUCUUGGUUUGAAGCUAAUCUCUCCUGUGAACUCACUCUGCCCCUCUUCUUUCUGCCUUUAAUUUUCUCAAUGUUAUCCAUUCACUUAGGAAAAAAAAAAAAAACUGUUUCUGUU
Long non-coding RNA from Loxodonta africana (African savanna elephant), 131 nucleotides. It matches the Rfam family "Nuclear enriched abundant transcript 1 conserved region 2". The record is from Rfam. Lineage: Eukaryota; Metazoa; Chordata; Mammalia; Proboscidea; Elephantidae.